GGGGGGUAACGGCCCACCAAGGCAACGACGGGUAGCUGGUCUGAGAGGACGAUCAGCCACACUGGGACUGAGACACGGCCCAGACUCCUACGGGAGGCAGCAGUGGGGAAUCUUGCGCAAUGGGCGAAAGCCUGACGCAGCAACGCCGCGUGAGGGAUGAAUGCCUUCGGGUUGUAAACCUCUUUCAAGCAGGGAAGAUAGUGACGGUACCUGCAGAAGAAGCUCCGGCCAACUACGUGCCAGCAGCCGCGGUAAUACGUAGGGAGCGAGCGUUGUCCGGAUUUAUUGGGCGUAAAGAGCUCGUAGGCGGCUUGGUAAGUCGGAUGUGAAACCUCCAGGCUCAACCUGGAGACGCCAUCCGAUACUGCUAUGGCUAGAGUCCGGUAGGGGCCCACGGAAUUCCUGGUGUAGCGGUGAAAUGCGCAGAUAUCAGGAGGAACACCGGUGGCGAAGGCGGUGGGCUGGGCCGGCACUGACGCUGAGGAGCGAAAGCGUGGGGAGCGAACAGGAUUAGAUACCCUGGUAGUCCACGCCGUAAACGUUGGGCACUAGGUGUGGGACCUUUUCAACGGGUUCCGUGCCGUAGCUAGCGCAUUAAGUG
Molecule: ribosomal RNA, 601 nt
Filed under: uncultured bacterium
Lineage: Bacteria
Description: bacterial SSU rRNA
Rfam family: Bacterial small subunit ribosomal RNA
Source: RNAcentral